Molecule: ribosomal RNA, 429 nt
Filed under: bacterium
Lineage: Bacteria
Description: partial 16S ribosomal RNA
Rfam family: Bacterial small subunit ribosomal RNA
Source: RNAcentral
UGGGGAAUUUUGGACAAUGGGCGAAAGCCUGAUCCAGCAAUGCCGCGUGUGUGAAGAAGGCCUUCGGGUUGUAAAGCACUUUUGUCCGGAAAGAAAACGCCGUGGUUAAUACCCGUGGCGGAUGACGGUACCGGAAGAAUAAGCACCGGCUAACUACGUGCCAGCAGCCGCGGUAAUACGUAGGGUGCAAGCGUUAAUCGGAAUUACUGUGCGUAAAGCGUGCGCAGGCGGUCCGCUAAGACAGAUGUGAAAUCCCCGGGCUUAACCUGGGAACUGCAUUUGUGACUGGCGGGCUAGAGUAUGGCAGAGGGGGGUAGAAUUCCACGUGUAGCAGUGAAAUGCGUAGAGAUGUGGAGGAAUACCGAUGGCGAAGGCAGCCCCCUGGGCCAAUACUGACGCUCAUGCACAAAAGCGUGGGGAGCAAACAGG